Molecule: small RNA, 131 nt
Filed under: Citrobacter koseri
Lineage: Bacteria; Pseudomonadati; Pseudomonadota; Gammaproteobacteria; Enterobacterales; Enterobacteriaceae
Description: STnc340
Rfam family: Enterobacterial sRNA STnc340
Source: RNAcentral
AAAAUCCAUUUUGCGGACGUUACCAUAUCAAUUAAUAAGGGAGCGAGGUAGUCCAGAUAAGGACUUCUUAUUCUGCGGGUAAUAUGCUUUGCGUAGAUUCAGCAUAAUAAAAAACGGCCUGGAGAGGAUGU